Long non-coding RNA from Ictalurus punctatus (channel catfish), 522 nucleotides. NCBI's taxonomy places the organism in Eukaryota, Metazoa, Chordata, Actinopteri, Siluriformes, Ictaluridae. The record is from Ensembl.
GGGAGACUGAAUGGGAAUACUAGGUCCUGUAAGCUUUUUAUUUGGAUCAGUGUUUUCAUGGCCUCUGCACAACAUCCUGUUUUGGGAUAAAGGUUGGACACAGGUUUGAAGGGGACCCAAUCAAUCAAUCAAUCAAUCAGUCAGUCAGUCUUUUGAUUACACUAUUUAAAUAGGCCCCAUUUGGGGUCAGCUUUCGCUUACGGCCAUACCACUCUGAAAAAGCCUGAUCUCAUCUGACCUCGGAAGCAAAGCAGAGCUGGGCCUGGUUAGUACUUGGUUGGGAGACUGAAUGGGAAUACUAGGUGCUGUAAGCUUUUUAUUUGGAUCAGUGUUUUCAUGGCCUCUGCACAACAUCCUGUUUUGAGAUAAAGGUUGGACACAGGUUUGAAGGGGACCCAAUCAAUCAAUCAGUCAGUCAGUCAGUCAGUCUUUUGAUUACACUAUUUAAAUAGGCCCCAUUUGGGGUCAGCUUUCGCUUACGGCCAUACCACUCUGAAAAAGCCUGAUCUCAUCUGACCUCGG